GGGCGUAAGCGCGCGCAGGUGGUUUCUUAAGUCUGAUGUGAAAGCCCACGCCUCAACCGUGGAGGGUCAUUGGAAACUGGGAGACUUGAGUGCAGAAGAGGAAAGUGGAAUUCCAUGUGUAGCGGUGAAAUGCGUAGAGAUAUGGAGGAACACCAGUGGCGAAGGCGACUUUCUGGUCUGUAACUGACACUGAGGCGCGAAAGCGUGGGGAGCAAACAGGAUUAGAUACCCUGGUAGUCCACGCCGUAAACGAUGAGUGCUAAGUGUUAGAGGGUUUCCGCCCUU
RNAcentral lists this ribosomal RNA (285 nucleotides) under Bacillus cereus. Its description in RNAcentral is "partial 16S ribosomal RNA". It matches the Rfam family "Bacterial small subunit ribosomal RNA", at positions 556 to 840 of the family's 1533-position model. The record is from RNAcentral. Lineage: Bacteria; Bacillati; Bacillota; Bacilli; Caryophanales; Bacillaceae.